Molecule: ribosomal RNA, 200 nt
Filed under: uncultured bacterium
Lineage: Bacteria
Description: partial 16S ribosomal RNA
Rfam family: Bacterial small subunit ribosomal RNA
Source: RNAcentral
AUUGAACGCUGGCGGCGGGCCUAACACAUGCAAGUCGAGCGGUUGAGGUAGCUUGCUACCGAUGCAGCGGCGGACGGGUGAGUAAUACAUGGGAAUCUGCCUGGUAGUGGGGGACAACGUUUCGAAAGGAACGCUAAUACCGCGUACGCCCUACGGGGGAAAGGGGGGGAUCGCAAGACCUCUCGCUAUCAGAUGAGCCC